GGGUGUGCGCGCGCGCCGUGGCAGAGCUCCCGUGAGGCAGUGCGGGCGCGGAGCGCGGCGGCGGGCUUCUGAGGGGCGCGAGCGGAGCUCCCAGAGGUUCAUCGUGACUGGGCAUUGAUUCUUGUGUGAAUGGCGGGUGCUGAUUCAGUCGUCGAGGAGAAGUCACAGAUUCUAAAAAAAUUUUGUCCUUCUUCUGAACUUAACAUAAAUUUAGUUUGUUUGUAUUUGGGUUUAUCUUCUAAAUAUCCACACCAUAAACCCAUAUCAGUUACAAAAAAGUUGUGCAGUUAAACCAUGAGUUGUGGAAAAGAGUUUGUGGAAACAUUAAAAAAAAUUGAUUAUCCCAAAGCUGAUAGUCUUAAUGGGGAAGAUUUUGACUGGUUGUUUGAGACUGUUGAAGAUGAAGCAUUUUUGAAGUGGUUUUGUGGGAAUGUGAAUGAACAGAAUGUAUUGUCCAAAGAAGAAUUGGAAGCUUUUAGCAUUCUUCAAAAAUCAGGCAAGCCCAUCCUAGAAGGAGCAGCACUGGAUGAAGUUCUUAAAACCUGUAAAACUUCUGAUUUGAAAACCUCUACCCUGGAUGACAAAGAGCUAGAGAAAUUGGAAGUUGAAGUUCAAGCUCUGCAGAAAUUGAAGAACCUAAAAAUUCAGCGACGUAAUAAAUGCCAGUUGAUGGCUUCGGUAACAAGCCACAAAUCUCUGAGGUUAAGUGCUAAAGAAGAAGAAGCCACUAAAAGGCUGAAGCAGAGUCAAGGAAUUCUAAAUGCGAUGAACACCAAGAUAAAUAAUGAACUUCAAGGUCUUACUGAUGGCGUUGCUAAAUUGAUGAUGUUUUUCAGACAUUCUAAUUUGGAUCAAGGGGCAAAUCCACUGGUGUUUUUAUCUCAGUUUUCCUUGGAAAAAUAUCUAAGCCAAGAAGAGCAAAGCACAGCAGCAUUAACUUUGUAUACCAAAAAACAGUUCUUUCAAGGUAUACAUGAAGUAGUUGAAAGUUCAAAUGAAGAAAAUUUUCAACUUUUAGAUAUACAAGCACCAUCUAUUUGUGAUAAUCAAGAAAUCCUUGAGGAGAGACGGCUGGAGAUGGUUAGGCUGCAGCUAGCAUACAUUUGUGCUCAACAUGAGUUAAUUCACUUGAAAGCAAGUAAUUUGAGCAUGAAGUCAAGUAUACAGUGGGCAGAGGAGAAUCUUCAUAGCCUCACUAGCAAGGCUCUUGGCAAAGAUAAUUUGGACGCUAAAAUUUCUAGCUUGAACAGUGAGAUUCUGAAACUUGAAGAACAAAUCACUUAUAUAAAAGAUAAAAGCUUGCCUGCUGUGGUAAAAGAGAAUGCCCAGUUAUUGAAUAUGCCAGUUGUAAAGGGAGAUUUUGAUCUACAGAUUGCUAAACAAGACUAUUAUACAGCAAGACAAGAGUUAGUUUUAAAUCAGUUGAUAAAGCAAAAGGCAUCAUUUGAACUUCUACAGUUAUCAUAUGAAAUUGAAUUGAGAAAGCAUUGGGACAUACAUCGUCAACUUGAAAAUUUGGUUCAAGAACUUAGUCAAAGUAAUGCGAUGCUCCGCCAGCGAUUAGAAAUGCUGACAGACCCGUCAGUAUGUCAGCAGAUAAAUCCAAGGAAUACCAUUGAUACCAAGGACUACUCUACUCAUAGGCUUUAUCAACUUUUAGAAGGAGAGAAUAAGAAAAAAGAAUUGUUUAUAACCCAUGGAAACCUGGAGGAGGUGGCUGAGAAAUUAAAACAGGAUGUUUCUUUAGUACAAGAUCAGUUGGCAGUAUCUACUCGAGAACAUUCUUUCUUUCUGUCCAAACUGAAUAAUGAUGUGGACGAGCUUUGUGAUACUUUGUAUCAAGGAGGAAAUCAGCUUUUGCUUAGUGACCAGGAGUUAACAGAGCAGUUUCAUCAAGUUGAAUCCCAGCUGAAUAAGUUGAAUCAUCUUCUUACUGAUGUUCUUGCUGAUGUGAAGACAAAAAGAAAAAUUUUGGCAUCUAAUAAACUGCAUCGAAUGGAAAGAGAAUUAUAUGUAUAUUUUUUAAAAGACGAAGAUUAUCUGAAAGAUAUUGUGGAGAACUUAGAAAACCAAUCAAAGAUUAAAGUUGUUGGUCUGGAAGAUUGAAGAUUAUUAAAAACGAAAUCUUUACUACAUAUGCUAUGUUUUAAUGUUUUCUAUAUUAGGGGGAAAACAUAGCUAAUAAACACUACUAAAAUUUUAAAUUUGAGGUCAAUGGAACAUUUCAUUUAAUUAAUUCAAGUAUUGUAUCGGUUUGGUUUUUUCCCUCAUAUAGUAUAUUUAUUCAAAGUACCAGUGCUUUCUAUGACUUGAACAUUUGCUUGGUGGGACCUAGUUCUGAUAACUUUUUACUUACAGGGAAAAAGCAUUAUUACGUAAUGCAAAUAUUUCUUAAUAGAAUUAGUUCAGUCGCUUUUACUUUUUUUUUUUUUUUUAGAAAUAGAAAAUUUCUACUGUGAAACAUUUUAAACCUUUGUAGAACUUUGAAUCAGCAUUGUUAAACCCUAAGGUGUUAAACACCUUAAUAUGGAAUAGCCAAGUACCCUCGUAUUUGACUAUACAGUAAAAUUCUAUAAAGUAAAAUACUCAAACUGUAUCCCCCCGUAAUUCCCUGCUGUAGACUUUGAGACUCUGAAUGUUCCUAUUUGUUCCACAAAGAAUGUUGGGUAUCCAUUGGCCAUUGUUCAUUUUAGCAUCUGGGUCCUGGGGACUUAGAAUUUCUGCAAGACAUCUUAGUGCUUUGACUUCAGUAUGACACAUUAUGAAUGAUUUUUAAAUGAAAUUUGAAAAUGCCAUAGAAGUGGCUGCUCAAAGGAUGUAUAGUCUAUUUUACCUGUUUUUCUGGAGGGAGAAUACUUAAAAGUUAGAUUGUAUCAGUUGGGGUACAAGUGUAUUAUUUGGACCAUUAGAAAUUAUUUUGAGUGGGAUAAAAUAAUUUGAAAUAGCUUAUUUAUCAGUCAUGACAUCAAGUGUUUCUUGAGUGCUUGAUUUAUAAGUGGCCUGUUACGUACUAUGUAAGCUCUGCAGAGGAAAAGGAGGAUCUAGAUAUUCAAGGAAUAUUCCUUAUUCAAGAAUAUUCCUGCUCCAGAAUAUAUUACUUUUUAAUAUGGAAUGCUAGUCUAAAAACUACACUUUUGUGGAAUUUUUUAGCUAUAACCAUCAGAAAAUGGGUAUGCUUAGGUGACAGAUAAGCCCUCAUAAUUUUUAUAAUCUGUUGAACAAAAUUAUUUUGCCAGUUAUUAUAUUUGUACAUUAUUUAAAAAUGUAUAUUUAUUAAGUAGAUCUAAAUAUGCUUGAAAUUUCUAACAAUCUUGUCUAAGAUUUUUCUCUUAGCUCCUCAUGGGUGACUUUUAUUCCUUUUUUUUCUUUCUCUAUUCUACAGUGGAAUAGAGAAUUUACUUAAAAUUUUUCUUUUCUCCAGUAAUGUGCGAAAAUAUGUCACCCAGUUUCCUGGCUCAUGGAACAGCACAUUCUGUUUAGAUUAGUGCCAUGUGUGUUAGGUGUAUGACCAGCUACUUGAUGAUUUGUACUGUCCCUUCCACACCUUCGCCCACUCAGCCCAGGGGCGAGUACAGCUGAGAGGUGUGCAUGGAAUGAUGUCAGGUUGUGUGUCUAUCAUAAUUACCCAAGUCCAUUAAAAAUGUUUAUGUUACUAGAUUUGUACAGUUGAAGAUUAUAACAGCCAUUUGUUUCAAACCUCAGGAAGUAUAUGAAUAGAUUGCUUGCUUCAAAAUUGGUUAACUAGAAAUUGUAUGCUUUGUUACCUGUUUACCAUAAUAUUCCAGUUGAGUCUCUAACCAUUUUGCCUCCUUCUUGCUAUUCUAUUGUAUCGGUAACUAUGGAGAUAAUUGAUUCCUAUUUUACGUGGUCAUUACAGAGAGUGAUUUUUAUGAAUGUCUCUGUAUGUAACAUUUUUCAAAUAACUUCUUAUUUUGAAGUACAAUUAAUAUAUGGAUAUUAUGUUUAUCUUACAUUUAGGAUUUAUGAAAAUGGAAAAUUAUGAGGCAUUUGUAGGCUUUGAUCCCUGUAAGAUACCGCUUUCCAGUGUUGCUCAGAAGAUUAUGUCUGCUGUGUACUCAGGUGACUUAGUGGAGUCUAAGCAUUGGAGAGGGGUGAAAAGAAGGUAACCAUCAUCCUGACUGGCAGUCACCUCCACUUCCUGAUGAUGGGCAUUUUCUCCAGAGGCUUUUUUGGCAGAGAUUAUGUGUACGCAACACCAGUGUGUCCUGGGGAGCAGGAGCAGGCUGCAUGGCUCAGUCUCCUUGCAGUCAGGUGUGACCCGGGUUCCUGUCUGUGGGACGUGUGCCCAGGUGGUGUGUGCCAUUUCCAGGGUAGGCCCAAAGACAUUCAGCUUGCUUCCCAGCUGGCCUCUUUCCUUCCACCCAGUAGGAACCCCAAACGACUCCUUUCAAACUCUGCAAAUGCUAACGGUGUCCUAGAGGAUUGUGGAACAUGUUGGAAACUGCAGUCCUGGAGGGACUUCACAAAAGAUGUGUAACCAGCUGAGUACACUCACUCAGAACAUGAAAGGGAAAUAAACUUUAUUCUUUAA
Lynx canadensis (Canada lynx) is the source of this 4552-nucleotide RNA transcript. It is a transcript of the gene named HAUS augmin like complex subunit 3, with no coding region annotated. The record is from RefSeq and is a predicted model, not a curated record. Lineage: Eukaryota; Metazoa; Chordata; Mammalia; Carnivora; Felidae. The transcript is spliced from 7 exons.